Punica granatum (pomegranate) is the source of this 2595-nucleotide non-coding RNA. The record is from RefSeq and is a predicted model, not a curated record. Lineage: Eukaryota; Viridiplantae; Streptophyta; Magnoliopsida; Myrtales; Lythraceae.
AUUUACAUGUCUUGGGCCUGUACUUGUCUUUCUGUCAAGCCCGACAACUUAAGGUCCAUGUGGUUUUGGAAAUUAUCCUUUUGAUCCUGAACAUUUUGAAAAUGUCAAAAUUUGCCCCGAAUCAUUCGAGCCUUUAUUUUUUUCUACCCUUUUACGUCCGAGGCGCCGUUUGGCUUGAGCUGCCACAAACGGUGACGGAGACGGACCAGAACAGGCGAUCUCUCUCCUCUCUUCCCUCUGGUAAUGGACCUCCUCUGCAGCGCUUACUCGAACUCCGACGUCGACGGAGACGAACGGGAACCCAAGAAGCUCAGACCCGAGAACCCGAUCCCAGUGACCAGCCACCACCCGAAACCUCGACCAUGGAACGUGAUCGGUCGUCAGGGAGAAGCCCCAGUUCAGGGCAACACGAACCGGACACUGGAACCCUCCGGCUCUACGUUUGGUACUUGCUUCCCAACGUUGACAUAUUUGAUUUUCGUGCAAAUGUGGUGAUGUUGGAGCUCAGUUGUCUGAAAGUUCAGUUCUUUUUUCUUUCCUAUAUCUGUUGGGCAAGAGUUCAUUUGUUGAUGUUAAUGAAGUUUGAUGCUAUUCCUGGGGAAAGUUUAGUGCUUUUCUUAUAUGUUUGAAUCUGAUUGAGUCAAAUAUGUCUCUGUUUUCGGAAUUUAGACUGUAAUUGUUUUGCAACAUAGGAGUGUAAUUUAGUUAGGAGCAAAAUGUUAGUACGAUGUCUUGGUAAUUCUUUUGGCCAAUUCCAUUAGAUUCCUGGACUGUUACUCUGAUCUCAACAAUAGUCACCAAUGGCAUUAGUGUUCGGCAUUGGGUGGAUGCGAUUUAUUAGAUGUGCACCAUCAGCGGAUUGAUAUAUAACGGAAUUGUACAGAAUACUCGUAAAACUUGGAUAGGACCUGUCUGUUUCAUGGCUGAAAAAAAGUUGAAUAGACACAAUAUCUUAGCAAAAUAUGUCAGAUUGUCAUAAGUGCUAGGUGGAUUGAAGAAAUUGUUUUAUUACCAGUUCGUGUGAAACAAACGAGCCCUUCAUUUAGUUUUUGUUUAAGAUGUAAGUUCCCACUUCCAUUAAUGAGGUUGUUUUAAUCCUUAAACAUGCAAAUUAGUUUGGAUGAUGUUUGGCGUUUGUCCAAUGUUUCAGUAUGGGUAUCAGCAAGGUCGUAAUGUGUCAAUUACAGGAAGCUAACAGAACUGCCCUAAAAAAAAAAAUAUAUAUAUAUAUAUAUAUAUUUCUUUUUGUUGCUGAGACAUAGAGGGAAAGGCCGUUUCUAACGAGGCUGAAUGCCAGAAAAGCUGUCUGUGUCUCUUAAUGGCCAUAAAAAGGUUAUUAAUGCUCUGGAUUGAUCAACAAGUCAAGCUCAUCUUCUCAUUUCUGCUGGGAUGGAUCACACUGUUCACAAAUGGAAUGUAUGGAGCAACAGCAAGAGAAAAGCAUGUGUCUGGAACUGUCACAACUCUGCAGUUAAAGACAUGAAGUGGACGAAGAUGGGUUGGUUCAUGCUUUCAUGUGGAUUCGAUCUUACAUCAAGAUUAGAAAGUUGAUGUUGAGAAGGGCUCAGAGAUUUGUGUCUUCAAGGAGGAUCAAGUUGUUAAUGUUGCGAAGUUUCAUCUAUAGAAUCCGAACCUCUUCCUUUCGAGUGGUGAAACUGAAAAGGUUCCCCCUCAGAUUAAGGCCGGGUCAAGUGGUACGAGUACAUUCAGCAACCCGGUCCAAUUCUCAACGUGGAUUUAUCUCAUGAUGGCAAAGAGUUUGUUUCUCGAGCAAUGUCCCCACAGCAACAUAAGUGAGAAUGCAUUGUAGUUUGGGAUCUAACACGCGAGUUUUCCCUUUCCAACCAGGUAUGUACCUCAUUCUUGGUGAAUGAUUUGACAAUUGUCAAUCAAGUAUGCAAUGCAAGGUUGUCUUUGAUUUUGUAGUGCUAGAAAGAAACUGGAAAAGUCUUCAUGAGCGAGAUCGCUCUCACCCAUAGUUGAAUGGCUUAAUAGUUCUUGUAACUUCUUAUACAUUUGCCUUCUGAGCUUGCAUUAAACCAAUUCUUGAGACGAUGUGUUAGUCGUUCUUAUGGGUUCAGGUCUAUGGGGAGGCUUACACCUGUCCCUGCAUAAGGCACCGCCCACUUGAGCCAUUUAUCGUGGCUCAAUGAAAUGUGAACUCUAUUGCAGUAUUUUCUUGGCUCCAUUCAGGCUCCAGAAAUAUAAAAGACGUGAGUGUCAUGGAGUCUCUGGGUUUCCCAUCAAGUGCAGCUUCAGCUCAGAUGGGGAUACUCUUGCAACAGGCUCUGCAGAAGGUUCCAUAUACUUGUACAAUUACAGAUCAAGCAGUCUUAUUAGGAAGACCAAAGCAUACUCUUCUCCAUGCAGAGGCAUCGGGUUCCAUUCACCAUCUCUAAUGUGGUUGCUUCCUGAAGUUGGAUUGGAGAUCUGUCGGUGCUUAUGAGUGAUUUCUUUUUGCUCGUUUGAUUUGCUAAAUCAUUCAGGUUUGAUUGUUGAGAAACUGAAGACUUGAUCAGGCAUUAGAUCUGAUCCCAGGCUCAAACCUCGGUUGGUGUAUAUAUGUAAAUGAAAUAUUGUGUUUUUGCUGGGUCA